GACGAACGCUGGCGGCGUGCCUAAUACAUGCAAGUAGAACGCUGAAGAGAGGAGCUUGCUCUUCUUGGAUGAGUUGCGAACGGGUGAGUAACGCGUAGGUAACCUGCCUUGUAGCGGGGGAUAACUAUUGGAAACGAUAGCUAAUACCGCAUAACAAUGGAUGACACAUGUCAUUUAUUUGAAAGGGGCAAUUGCUCCACUACAAGAUGGACCUGCGUUGUAUUAGCUAGUAGGUGAGGUAAUGGCUCACCUAGGCGACGAUACAUAGCCGACCUGAGAGGGUGAUCGGCCACAAUGGGACUGAGACGCGGCCCAGGCUCCUACGGGAGGCAGCAGUAGGGGAUCUUCGGCAAAGGGGGCAAGCCGGAACGAGCAACGCCGCGUGGGUGAAGAAGGGUUUCGGGUCGUAAAGCUCUGUUUUAAGUCGAGAACGGGUGUGCGAGUGGAAAGUUCACACUGUGACGGUAGCUUACCAGAAAGGGACGGCUAACUACGUG
This 497-nucleotide ribosomal RNA is filed under the name uncultured bacterium. RNAcentral's name for it is "partial 16S ribosomal RNA". It matches the Rfam family "Bacterial small subunit ribosomal RNA", at positions 28 to 507 of the family's 1533-position model. The record is from RNAcentral.